RNAcentral lists this long non-coding RNA (1760 nucleotides) under Homo sapiens (human). RNAcentral describes it as "HSALNT0324034". The record is from RNAcentral. Lineage: Eukaryota; Metazoa; Chordata; Mammalia; Primates; Hominidae.
AUUCUAAAGCCAAGGCCAUUUGAUAAAGCCUGGGGAAUUUAUUGCAAGGCAGAUGGACACAGCAGCAGCACAUAAGAGCACACGCGUGGGGCUCCAGCCCGGCCACGGGGAGACCUUUUCUCAGCAAAGGGCAGCACUGCUCGCUUUGCUGGGGCAGCCCUCCCAGGAAGAUCCCAGAAGAGAUGGUCUGAGGUGUGUGAACACUGUGAAUGUCAUGGACAAAGCUCAGCGUGGGACCCCAUGGGACUUCAGGCCCUGAAAGCAGCAGAUCUCACCUGCAUUGGAGGAUGAGACGCCACAUGAAGAAGAAAGAAGACGCCACAGACAGCAGCGCAGUACCACCUUCCAGAGAUAGUCUCACUGUGACACCUAGUUUGGACUGCAAUGGCGCGAUCUUGGCUCACUGAAACCUCCGCUUCCCAGGUUCAAACGAUUCUCCUGCCUCAGCCUUCCGAGUAGCUGGGACUACAGGUGUGCACCACCAUGCCUGGCUAAUUUUUGUAGUUUUAGUAGAAAUGAGGUUUCGCCAUAUUGGCCAGGCUGUUCUUGAACUCCUGACCUUAAGUGAUCUGCCUGCUUUGGCCUCCCAAUGUGCUGGGAUUACAGGCUUCAACCACUGAGCCUGGCCUACUCCUUUGCUAUCUUAAUAAACUUGGUUUCAGCUUACUUUAUGGACUCGCCCUAAAUUCUUUCUUGUGCAAGGUCCAAGAACCUUCUCUUGGGGUCUGCAUCAGGACCCCUUUCUGCCCUUUCUGGUAACAGUACCAUAAUAACAAAUAUUAUCGAGCAUAUUUUCAUGUAAUUAUUUGCAACUUGUAUAUCUUCUUUGGUAGAGUGUCUGUUAGAAUAUUUUGUCUAUCUAAAAAUUGGGUUUGUUUUCUUAUUAUUGAAUUUUGAGAGUGUGUUAUAUGUUCUGGACACAAGCCCUUUAUCAGAGAUAUGGUUUGCAAAUAUUUUCUUCUAGUCUGUGACUUUUCUCUCUUAACAAUGUCUUUUGAAGAGCAGGUGUUUUAAAUUUUGAUGAAGUCAGAUGUAUCAAUUUAUGAUUUUAAUAAAUCAUGCUUUUAGCAUAGUAUUUAAGAUACUUAACCCAAGGUCACAAGAGUUUUCUUUUAGAAGUUUUAGUUUUAGGUUUUGCAUUUAGGUAUAUGAUCCAUUUUGAGUUAGUUUAUAUACAUUGUGCAAGGUAAGGACUGAGGUUUUUAAUUUUUGCAUAUAGAUUACCACUUGUGCCAACCUCACUGUUGUGAUGAUAUGAUAGAAAUCACUGUCUUUUCUCCACUGACUUGCUUUUGCAUCUUUGUAAAAAGUUGGUCAUGCCAAUGAAACUGACCCAAUUUUCCCAUAGAACUGAUGGGAAAAACUGUUUACAGUUUUGUUGUUGUUUUUUGUUUUUGUUUUUGUUUUUAAUGAACAUUGAAGUGGACUCUCCAGGUUUUAAAGCUUGAGAAACUUACAUUUGUCUUAUCUGAGUUUAUUUCUCAGGAAACCAGCUGUCAGGCCUCCCAGAUAGUAUCAGAAAGCUGAAGAUUUCCAGAUCGCUGCAUCCUAACAGCAAGGUCCUAAAAACAUCCUGAGUUUCUUUGGCCUGCCAGAAAGUCACCUUCCUGACUCACCUGUAAGGCUGGGAACUCCAUAAUCCAGUUGGAAAUGCAGAAAUCACCUGUCUUCUGCGUCGAUCAGGCUGGGAGCUGCAGACCGGAGCUGUUCCUAUUCGGCCAUCUUGGAAUGGACCCCCAUGUCUUAUUCUCAAAUAAAAC